Molecule: long non-coding RNA, 1007 nt
Organism: Spinacia oleracea (spinach)
Lineage: Eukaryota; Viridiplantae; Streptophyta; Magnoliopsida; Caryophyllales; Amaranthaceae
Exons: 3
Source: RefSeq, a predicted model, not a curated record
GCACAAAAUAUUUCUAAAAAUAUUUCCCAAAAUAUUUUCAUUUCCCGCUUCUCCUCCUUCCCCUUCUCUGGUUCCCGCUUCUCUCUCCUUCCCCUCUCUAGUUAUCUGGUUCUCUGCUCAAUCCCCUUCUCUAGCUUCUAACAAGCUGUUGAUGUUCCCCCUACCACAGACGUUUUUCCCUUACCGUCGACGCUUCCUCUUCCAGCCGUGGAUUAAAAACCCUAAUUUGUAAUUGUAACCUGCUUGUUGAUGUUGAUUGAUGUUGGUUUGAGCAGUUGAGCUUCAUGAUUCAACCUCUAGUGAGCGUCGCUUCUCUUGCUACUCCUAUCAAUUUUUGUUUUACAUAUUCUUUCUAUGUAUUUGAAGUUUUAUUUUUCUAGGGUUUCUUUGUAUUUCAGACUCUAAAUUUUUAUAAUUUCUUUUUGGUUGAUAUUGUGGUGACAAAUUCGAUUGGGGGAGGAGAAGAGAAAUCUGAAGAUUUUGUAUUUUUUCCCCAUCAACCUUCAACAUCGAACUCGUAAGGAGAGGCGGUAUCUUGCUUGGAGCAGGCUGUAAAUAGCUUCCUUGGAAUGGAAAACUCAAUAUGUGUGCUAGAUUCUAUAAGAUGUCGAGAGUGAGCAGAUCAAAGAUAGUGGGAUGCCUUGGUUGUGGUUCAGUCAUACAAUCCCAGAUGUAAAGUUCCGUAUAGCAGUAUCUCAAUAAGUGAUUUGGACCUUUGCUUAUCCAAAGCAUUGCUACUGCUCAAAACUGUGGUAAUAUAUUUCAUCUGUGAGAGCUAUUCGGGAUUGCCGGAUCAGCAGUAUAGUAUCAUUUUUCGGAAGUAGAAACCACAUUCAUUAUUGAUGUUAUUAAUCAUAUUAUUAGUAAUAUAUGACCAUUUUAUGAUGGCUAUGAUAUGAUCUUGAGAUUAAAAGAUCUGCACCCUCGUCUUAGUGCAUUGGCUAUCACGUUUACUGUCAACACUCUAGAUCUUUUUCGCAGUGGAAUCAAUAUUGUAAUCUAUCCUA